AGUUCAAUCAUUAGGGGCCUGUUCUCAAUUUUCCUUACAACGCCUCUAGCACUGGGCAAUUGCCACCAUCUUGAAAAGCAGUGCCGCGGAUGGCUAUCGCAUCGCCACUACGCAUGAGAACACGAUGGCUGCCCUGCGCUGCAUUGAUAGUUCGUAAUAAAUUCACAUAAAAACACACCAGAAUAUCUCCGAUUUUAUUUACAAAGAUCAUAUUUUGUUAUUUAUUGAUAAAACAAGCCAUUUUACCACAGCAGGUGACACAUUAGGCCUGAAUAAGACUUUAGAAUUUGAAGUGGUGGUGACGAUGCCGAUAUCCAAGAUGGCGGAAUUAUACCAGUGGUCAAAUCUCAUCUAUUUUGGGUAAUUGCAUCAUUAUUUCUUUUUGUGAUUGGUGAUUUGUAAAAUUGAGAAUGAUUGAAAAAUCAGUAUUUUUUCACCCAAAGGCAUGAGUGAACAUUUGAUAAGUUUAUUGUGAUUUAAUUGGUAAUUUGGUCGACAUUUUGACAAUUAUAUUUAGCAAUAUUUCGAUAAAUGCGGACCUGCUUCUUCCUCUUUUCGUAGUGACGGUGUUUCGAUAACUCAGGUCAGUUUCACGGCAAAAAUAAGUGGUAGUUUUGAAAUUCGAAUGUGCAUUUAUUGAUGUAACGAUAAAGUACAUUUCCGAGAAUAAUUAGUGAAAGUUUCAGUAGGUGUCGAUUUUUGUAAAGUAGUGUAUAGGCGAUGGAUUGGCUCAGCCAUGUGCUCGUCGUGUCAGCGGGGCGCAAGCCGUCAUGGGGGAUGUAGGCUACACUACAAUGCACGUGAUUGAUGGUUGAACAUUCACUCUCGUUGACAGUGUAUUAUUGAAAUAUUUGAUUGUGAUGAUGGUGUAUUGUACUAGGCCUUGCAUGCUCCCAACGUGUGGCAUAUUUCACAUUGAUACUACCAGUAUCAAUUACAAAAAAAUAGAUUGUGAGUAACAAUAGGCCUACAAUACAAUCAAUCAAUGCUACAUGUCAUGAGGGUGGGAACGGGGAAGGGGGGGUAACUGUCUCGACGUCCCGUUAGGAAAAAAGGCUUAUCCCGUUUCCCAAUAUGCAAUUUUAGCUGAAUCGUGACGCAAAACACGGCUUGUCUCGAAUCCCGCUAAAAUAAGGGUGUCUAUCCCGAAUCCCGACAGUUAUUUUCGGCCCAUCCCAGUGUCCCGAAAAUACCCGUUCUCCCCCUCAUAAAUAGUAGACCAUAUUGUCACAUUGAUGUUUUCUUUCAUUAAUACAGUUAGACUUCGAGAUCUACAUUUUCGACAAAGGCCUGGUGUAAAUUACGUACUUAAUGAAGCAACAUUCAAUAGAUUUAUUUACUGUAUUAUCAUUUCGACCAAGGCGAAUUCGACACUUCAAUUACACAAGCACAAUCAAACUUAGUCAUUCCAGUCAGUUACUGAAGCACAGCGAAAACUGUCUGAAUUAGUGCUGCUGAUGGCAUGUAAUUACUCUACUACCACUACCAGUGACAGUCAAUGUCCAUAUAUUUUCAAGUGUGCGAAAUUAGUACUCGUCUACUUCUUAGUGUUAUUUGAAUGCAAUGUAUGUUAUAAAAAUAUUUUUUCAACACUAUAUCAACAUUCUCAUUCCUGUCAGUUUCUGAAAAUCAGCUAAAGCAAUCGCUACCAAUGCAGCUGAUAACAGCAAUUCUUUUUGUUCCCAA
Lineus longissimus is the source of this 1686-nucleotide long non-coding RNA. RefSeq lists it as uncharacterized. The transcript has 3 exons. The record is from RefSeq and is a predicted model, not a curated record. Lineage: Eukaryota; Metazoa; Nemertea; Pilidiophora; Heteronemertea; Lineidae.